UACGAAGGAUCCAAGCGUUAUCCGGAUUUAUUGGGUUUAAAGGGUGCGUAGGCGGCCUAUUAAGUCAGUGGUGAAAGCCUGAUGCUUAACAUCAGAACUGCCAUUGAUACUGAUGGGCUUGAGUACAGUUGAGGUGGGCGGAAUGUGUCAUGUAGCGGUGAAAUGCUUAGAUAUGACACAGAACACCGAUUGCGAAGGCAGCUCGCUAAGCUGUAACUGACGCUGAGGCACUAAAGCGUGGGGAGCAAACAGG
RNAcentral lists this ribosomal RNA (253 nucleotides) under uncultured Bacteroidota bacterium. RNAcentral describes it as "uncultured Bacteroidetes bacterium partial 16S ribosomal RNA". It matches the Rfam family "Bacterial small subunit ribosomal RNA", at positions 524 to 776 of the family's 1533-position model. Lineage: Bacteria; Pseudomonadati; Bacteroidota. The record is from RNAcentral.